This 329-nucleotide ribosomal RNA is filed under the name uncultured eukaryote. Its description in RNAcentral is "partial 18S ribosomal RNA". It matches the Rfam family "Eukaryotic small subunit ribosomal RNA", at positions 1470 to 1796 of the family's 1831-position model. The record is from RNAcentral.
CCCUUAGAUGUUCUGGGCCGCACGCGCGCUACACUGACGAUGGCAACGAGUUUUUCCUUCGCCAAAAGGUGUGGGUAAUCUUUUGAAACAUCGUCGUGCUGGGGAUAGAUCAUUGCAAUUUUUGAUCUUGAACGAGGAAUUCCUAGUAAGCGCGAGUCAUCAGCUCGCGUUGAUUACGUCCCUGCCCUUUGUACACACCGCCCGUCGCUACUACCGAUUGAAUGGUUUAGUGAGGACUCCUGAUUGGCGCCGCCGCCCCGGCAACGGAGCAGCGGACUGCCGAAAAGUUGUUCAAACUUGAUCAUUUAGAGGAAGUAAAAGUCGUAACA